GACAGAGGUGCCGAGCGUUAGGCGGAAUCACUGGGCUUAAAGCGCGUGUAGGCGGACCGUUAAGUGUCCCGUGAAAUCCCCCGGCUCAACCGGGGAACGGCGGGGCAUACUGGCGGCCUUGAGCAACCUAGGGGCGAGCGGAACAGGCGGUGGAGCGGUGAAAUGCGUAGAUAUCGCCUGGAACGCCGACGGUGAAAACAGCUCGCUGGGGGUUCGCUGACGCUGAGACGGCGAA
This 235-nucleotide ribosomal RNA is filed under the name uncultured bacterium. RNAcentral describes it as "partial 16S ribosomal RNA". It matches the Rfam family "Bacterial small subunit ribosomal RNA", at positions 524 to 757 of the family's 1533-position model. The record is from RNAcentral.